CAGCCGCCGCGGUAAUACGUAGGUGGCAAGCGUUGUCCGGAAUUAUUGGGCGUAAAGGGCUCGCAGGCGGUUUCUUAAGUCUGACGUGAAAGCCCCCGGCUCAACCGGGGAGGGUCAUUGGAAACUGGGAAACUUGAGUGCAGAAGAGGAGAGUGGAAUUCCACGUGUAGCGGUGAAAUGCGUAGAGAUGUGGAGGAACACCAGUGGCGAAGGCGACUCUCUGGUCUGUAACUGACGCUGAGGAGCGAAAGCGUGGGGAGCGAACAGGAUUAGAUACCCCGGUAGUCCCUGUCUCUUAUAA
This 301-nucleotide ribosomal RNA is filed under the name uncultured bacterium. Its description in RNAcentral is "partial 16S ribosomal RNA". It matches the Rfam family "Bacterial small subunit ribosomal RNA", at positions 509 to 809 of the family's 1533-position model. The record is from RNAcentral.